GUGCUUGCUUCAGUAGCACAUAUACUAAAAUUGGAAUGAUGCAGAGAAGAUUAGCAUGGCCCCUGCACAAGUAUGACACAGAAAUUCAUGAAGUGUUCCAUAUUUUU
Small nuclear RNA from Choloepus didactylus (southern two-toed sloth), 107 nucleotides. The record is from RefSeq and is a predicted model, not a curated record. Lineage: Eukaryota; Metazoa; Chordata; Mammalia; Pilosa; Megalonychidae.